AUUGAACGCUGGCGGCAUGCUUUACACAUGCAAGUCGAACGGCAGCGCGGGCUUCGGCCUGGCGGCGAGUGGCGAACGGGUGAGUAAUGCAUCGGAACGUGCCCAGUAGUGGGGGAUAGCCCGGCGAAAGCCGGAUUAAUACCGCAUACGACCUGAGGGUGAAAGCGGGGGACCGAAAGGCCUCGCGCUAUUGGAGCGGCCGAUGUCGGAUUAGCUAGUUGGUGGGGUAAAGGCUUACCAAGGCGACGAUCCGUAGCUGGUCUGAGAGGACGACCAGCCACAAUGGGGGCGGGAACCCGCCCCGGCGCCCGAGGGGAGGCAGCGGGGGGGAAUUUUGGAAAAGGGGGGCAACCCUGACCCAGCCUGGCCGCGGGGGGGAAGAAGGCCUUGGGGUGGGAAACCGUUUUUGUGGGGGAAAAAAUCCUUGGGGUUAAACCCCCGGGGGGAGGACGGAACGGGAAAAAAAAGCACCGGCUAACUAGGG
Molecule: ribosomal RNA, 484 nt
Filed under: uncultured bacterium
Lineage: Bacteria
Description: partial 16S ribosomal RNA
Rfam family: Bacterial small subunit ribosomal RNA
Source: RNAcentral